GGUUUGUGGCUCAGUGUAGAGCGCUUGCCUUCCAUGCAUAAGGCACUGGGUUCGAUCCUCAGCACCA
This 67-nucleotide transfer RNA is filed under the name Marmota monax (woodchuck). RNAcentral describes it as "tRNA.Gly". The stretch from base 5 to 64 matches the Rfam family "tRNA", at positions 6 to 65 of the family's 71-position model. Rfam says of the family: Transfer RNA (tRNA) molecules are approximately 80 nucleotides in length. Their secondary structure includes four short double-helical elements and three loops (D, anti-codon, and T loops). Further hydrogen bonds mediate the characteristic L-shaped molecular structure. tRNAs have two regions of fundamental functional importance: the anti-codon, which is responsible for specific mRNA codon recognition, and the 3' end, to which the tRNAs corresponding amino acid is attached (by aminoacyl-tRNA synthetases). tRNAs cope with the degeneracy of the genetic code in two manners: having more than one tRNA (with a specific anti-codon) for a particular amino acid; and 'wobble' base-pairing, i.e. permitting non-standard base-pairing at the 3rd anti-codon position. The record is from RNAcentral. Lineage: Eukaryota; Metazoa; Chordata; Mammalia; Rodentia; Sciuridae.